This 651-nucleotide ribosomal RNA is filed under the name uncultured Rhodocyclaceae bacterium. RNAcentral describes it as "bacterial SSU rRNA". It matches the Rfam family "Bacterial small subunit ribosomal RNA", at positions 56 to 702 of the family's 1533-position model. The record is from RNAcentral. Lineage: Bacteria; Pseudomonadati; Pseudomonadota; Betaproteobacteria; Rhodocyclales; Rhodocyclaceae.
UGCAAGUCGAACGGGAUUGGAGGGCUUGCUCUUCAAUCUAGUGGCGAACGGGUGAGUAAAGUAUCGGAACGUACCAUUGAGUGGGGGAUAACGUAGCGAAAGUUACGCUAAUACCGCAUAUUCUCUGAGGAGGAAAGCAGGGGACCGCAAGGCCUUGCGCUCUUUGAGCGGCCGAUAUCAGAUUAGCUAGUUGGCGGGGUAACGGCCCACCAAGGCUACGAUCUGUAGCGGGUCUGAGAGGAUGAUCCGCCACACUGGGACUGAGACACGGCCCAGACUCCUACGGGAGGCAGCAGUGGGGAAUUUUGGACAAUGGGGGCAACCCUGAUCCAGCCAUGCCGCGUGAGUGAAGAAGGCCUUCGGGUUGUAAAGCUCUUUCGGCCGGGAAGAAAUCGCGCUCUCUAACAUAGGGUGUGGAUGACUGUACCGGCAUAAGAAGCACCGGCUAACUACGUGCCAGCAGCCGCGGUAAUACGUAGGGUGCGAGCGUUAAUCGGAAUUACUGGGCGUAAAGCGUGCGCAGGCGGUUUUGUAAGACAGGCGUGAAAUCCCCGGGCUUAACCUGGGAACUGCGCUUGUGACUGCAAGGCUGGAGUACGGCAGAGGGGGGUAGAAUUCCACGUGUAGCAGUGAAAUGCGUAGAGAUGUGGA